AGUUGGUGGUUUGAACUGUCUGGUUAAUUCCGAUAACGAACGAGACCUCAGCCUACUAAUUAGCCAGUGUUAUCGCUUGCGAUAGCAUCUGCGUUUUACUUCUUAGAGGGACUAUGCGUGUGUAGCGCAUGGAAGUUUGAGGCAAUAACAGGU
RNAcentral lists this ribosomal RNA (153 nucleotides) under uncultured eukaryote. RNAcentral describes it as "partial small subunit ribosomal RNA". It matches the Rfam family "Eukaryotic small subunit ribosomal RNA", at positions 1296 to 1461 of the family's 1831-position model. The record is from RNAcentral.